This 431-nucleotide ribosomal RNA is filed under the name uncultured bacterium. RNAcentral's name for it is "partial 16S ribosomal RNA". It matches the Rfam family "Bacterial small subunit ribosomal RNA", at positions 29 to 507 of the family's 1533-position model. The record is from RNAcentral.
AACGAACGCUGGCGGCAGGUUUAACACAUGCAAGUCGAACGCCCCGCAAGGGGAGUGGCAGACGGGUGAGUAACGCGUGGGAACAUACCCUUUUCUACGGAAUAGCUCUGGGAAACUGGAAUUAAUACCGUAUACGCCCUACGGGGGAAAGAUUUAUCGGGGAAGGAUUGGCCCGCGUUGGAUUAGCUAGUUGGUGGGGUAAAGGCCUACCAAGGCGACGAUCCAUAGCUGGUCUGAGAGGAUGAUCAGCCACAUUGGGACUGAGACACGGCCCAAACUCCUACGGGAAGCAGCAGUGGGGAAUAUUGGACAAUGGGCGCAAGCCUGAUCCAGCCAUGCCGCGUGAGUGAUGAAGGCCUUAGGGUUGUAAAGCUCUUUCACCGAUGAAGAUAAUGACGGUAGUCGGAGAAGAAGCCCCGGCUAACUUCGUG